This 429-nucleotide ribosomal RNA is filed under the name uncultured Acidobacterium sp. RNAcentral's name for it is "bacterial SSU rRNA". It matches the Rfam family "Bacterial small subunit ribosomal RNA", at positions 958 to 1385 of the family's 1533-position model. The record is from RNAcentral. Lineage: Bacteria; Pseudomonadati; Acidobacteriota; Terriglobia; Terriglobales; Acidobacteriaceae.
AACGCGAAGAACCUUACCUGGGCUCGAACGGCUUCAGACCGUCGUGGAAACACGAUCUUCCCCUUAAAAGGACUGGAGUCGAGGUGCUGCAUGGCUGUCGUCAGCUCGUGUCGUGAGAUGUUGGGUUAAGUCCCGCAACGAGCGCAACCCUUGUCCUGUGUUGCCAUCAUUCAGUUGGGCACUCUCGGGAGACCGCCAGCGAUAAGUUGGAGGAAGGUGGGGAUGAUGUCAAGUCAUCAUGGCCUUUAUGUCCAGGGCUACACACGUGCUACAAUGGACGGUACAAACCGCUGCAAACCCGCGAGGGAGAGCUAAUCGGAAAAAACCGUUCUCAGUUCGGAUCGCAGGCUGCAACUCGCCUGCGUGAAGCUGGAAUCGCUAGUAAUGCCGUAUCAGAACGACGGCGUGAAUACGUUCCCGGGCCUUGUA